This 1134-nucleotide long non-coding RNA is filed under the name Echeneis naucrates (live sharksucker). RNAcentral's name for it is "lncRNA (ENSENLG00000013608.1)". Lineage: Eukaryota; Metazoa; Chordata; Actinopteri; Carangiformes; Echeneidae. The record is from RNAcentral.
AGAAAGAAUCUCAAAGGUGCCCAAGAAGCCGACACUCAUGGAAGCCCCUUGUCCUGCACAAACUGAGGAGGACAAGAAAAGCAGAGACAACAGUCAGUUCUUUUUUACUCAGGCAGCAGACAGUUCUGAAAAUGAGUUUGAUCUUCAAGAUGAUGACAAAGAAACAGGAGCAGAAGGGAAAGGAAAACAGGAUGAUAACAUUUCUUCAAAAUUCACCCACUACGAUUGGAUGGAUGCAAAACCAUAUCCUGAAGCGGUACAGGCCAUUGGUGAGGACUGUAGUUUCACCUUCAGCUGUUUAUUUUUGUACAUUUUUGUCAGGCCCUGAAGAGUUUGCCUAUACAAUGGCCCCAUAGUGAAGGGGAAUAUUCAGGCUUUUUUUCCAACAGGAAUUCAGACAGCUGUUCGGAUGCUGGAACACACACUGAAGAAUCUUAAUGUUUACAGAGACUCAAAACCAAAACUUGAUAGCAUCCAGAUGCCAUACAGAGAAAGAAAGAAAAGGGUUUGAUAUUUUUUUCAAAUUCAUUUACAUUUUGCUUUCAACAUUACUGUCAAAUUAUAAUAAAUAUAAAAAGAACUUUAAAAACCAAGAAUAAUCUCCUGCAUGUUACAUCUUAACAUUUCUGUACACAGAUUCAGGAACUUCCACCUCUGAAACCAAUACAGCGGCCGCCUGAAAGGGUUGAUGAGUUAAUCAAGCAAAUGAGAAAGAGUAUAACCAUAAGACGUGUCUCCUUGAGUAUGAACAUUUCUGACACAGUCCCUUUCAGACAAGGUGACCUUUCAUGACCUUACCUUUGUUUAUGUAACAUUUUGUUUUCUGUACAGGCAGUGCUCUAAGCAGCACAGGCGGUAAAAGGGAAGACUACAAAGAAGCUGUAUCACUGCUCAGGGAUUUGAAGAACAAGUACAAGAUGGUCCAUAAGAAAACAAUGGAGCAUCUAGCCAGCCUUGAGUCAGCCGGAAACACCAACGUCAUUGGAGCUCAACCUCUACCUGUGAAAAUGCUGUGAUUCAUAUUGCAAACGCUAGACUGAAAUGUGAUUGAUUUCCUGUCUGGGCUAACACCUUGUUGAUAUUGGCAUAAAACUGGCGUGAUUGGAAUGAAAAUCACUGUCUGUCUCUUCACAU